Molecule: ribosomal RNA, 253 nt
Filed under: uncultured bacterium
Lineage: Bacteria
Description: partial 16S ribosomal RNA
Rfam family: Bacterial small subunit ribosomal RNA
Source: RNAcentral
GACGAACCGUGCGAACGUUAUUCGGAAUCACUGGGCUUAAAGCGCGUGUAGGCGGCCUGAUAAGUAGGGGGUGAAAUCUUGCGGCUCAACCGCAAGGCUGCCUUCUAAACUGUCAGGCUGGAGCACGGUAGAGGCAGAUGGAAUUCCCGGUGUAGCGGUGGAAUGCGUAGAGAUCGGGAAGAACACCAGUGGCGAAGGCGGUCUGCUGGGCCGUUGCUGACGCUGAGGCGCGACAGCGUGGGGAGCAAACAGG